This 253-nucleotide ribosomal RNA is filed under the name uncultured bacterium. Its description in RNAcentral is "partial 16S ribosomal RNA". It matches the Rfam family "Bacterial small subunit ribosomal RNA", at positions 524 to 776 of the family's 1533-position model. The record is from RNAcentral.
UACGUAGGGGGCUAGCGUUGCUCGGAAUUACUGGGCGUAAAGGGCGCGUAGGCGGCUAGUUUAGUCAGAGGUGAAAGCCCAGGGCUCAACCUUGGAAUUGCCUUUGAUACUGGCUAUCUUGAGUUCGGGAGAGGUGAGUGGAAUGCCGAGUGUAGAGGUGAAAUUCGUAGAUAUUCGGCGGAACACCAGUGGCGAAGGCGACUCACUGGCCCGAUACUGACGCUGAGGCGCGAAAGCGUGGGGAGCAAACAGG